Molecule: signal recognition particle RNA, 295 nt
Filed under: Phascolarctos cinereus (koala)
Lineage: Eukaryota; Metazoa; Chordata; Mammalia; Diprotodontia; Phascolarctidae
Description: Metazoan signal recognition particle RNA (ENSPCIG00000036225.1)
Rfam family: Metazoan signal recognition particle RNA
About the family: The signal recognition particle (SRP) is a universally conserved ribonucleoprotein. It is involved in the co-translational targeting of proteins to membranes.
Source: Rfam by way of RNAcentral
GCAGGAACGGUGGAAUGUGCCUGUAAUCCCUGCUACUGGGGACGCUGAGAGUACUGAACUGCUGGAGCUUGGGAGUUCUGAGCUGCAGUGGCCUAAGCUGAAUAGGUGUCUACACUAAGUUCAACACAACUAUGGGGGAGCCCCUGAGAGCAGGAGGCCAAGAGGUUGUAUAAAGAGGUCAGAAAUGAUCUGGUCAGAAAUGGAGCAGGUCAAAGGUUCUGUGCCAAUCACUAGUGGGCCCAAGAGAGGCCACUGUACUUUCCAGCCUAAUUGAGUCAGGGAGACUGGUCUUCCU